This 301-nucleotide ribosomal RNA is filed under the name uncultured bacterium. RNAcentral's name for it is "partial 16S ribosomal RNA". It matches the Rfam family "Bacterial small subunit ribosomal RNA", at positions 509 to 807 of the family's 1533-position model. The record is from RNAcentral.
CAGCCGCCGCGGUAAUACGUAGGGUGCAAGCGUUAAUCGGAAUUACUGGGCGUAAAGCGUGCGCAGGCGGUUAUAUAAGUCAGAUGUGAAAUCCCCGGGCUCAACCUGGGAACUGCAUUUGAGACUGUAUGGCUAGAGUGUGUCAGAGGGGGGUAGAAUUCCACGUGUAGCAGUGAAAUGCGUAGAUAUGCGGAGGAAUACCGAUGGCGAAGGCAGCCCCCUGGGAUAACACUGACGCUCAUGCACGAAAGCGUGGGGAGCAAACAGGAUUAGAUACCCCCGUAGUCCCUGUCUCUUAUAC